AUCCAAAAAAGGAAGAAGAUUCAGGAGGAUUCUGAUUCAGAAUCUGAAUCGAAUGAUGAGUAAUGUUCUGAAAUUAUUAUUGCUUUCCUUUCAGUUUAUUAUCAAAAUUUCAUCUAUUAAUAGAGCAUCUCUUAUUAACUUUCAGAAGCAAAGAAUCAUCACCAGUAGAGAAGCAAAAAACAAAGAAAAAGACUAAGAGAACACCCCAAAAGACACAAUCGAAAAAGAAAAAGAUCUGAAAUUAGAACCGAAGAAUUAGAAGAAAUCUUAAGGGAAUCUAGGAAGAAGCAAAACAAUGAAAAAUCUGCUGCACAGGGGUAGAAGGAAGCUGACCUGCGAUCAACAGAAGGUCACUAUGACUCAUCUGAAACAAUACCGGAGGUAAACUUAGGUAGUGAUGAUCCUUUGUCUCAAGGACACACAGAUCAAAGUAGUGUAAACAAACCGGCGGAGAGCAUAAAAAAAGCCCUUUAAUGUUUUAUUCGAGAAAAAAAGGCAGGAAAAAAAAGCCAAAACUGGAACUAUGUUGAGUCUAGUUGAAGAGUCGUCCAAUGAGCCAGGUGAAGAGAACAUGAUGGUUGUGCGGAUAGAGACACAGUCAGAAACCGAAGCGCUUUCAAUAGUUCCGAUUCAAGUUUGUCUACCACUGUCCCAAACAACCACUGUGCCAGAAAUUGAACCAACCCUGUGCCAGAAAUUGAACCAACCCCUGCAAAGUCUCCAACUGAAAAAAUUAAUGAAGAAACUGCAAAAA
Molecule: non-coding RNA, 754 nt
Organism: Arachis ipaensis
Lineage: Eukaryota; Viridiplantae; Streptophyta; Magnoliopsida; Fabales; Fabaceae
Source: RefSeq, a predicted model, not a curated record